GUACACUCCUACGGGAGGCAGCAGUGGGGAAUUUUGGACAAUGGGCGAAAGCCUGAUCCAGCAAUGCCGCGUGAGUGAAGAAGGCCUUCGGGUUGUAAAGCUCUUUUGUCAGGGAAGAAACGGUGAGAGCUAAUAUCUUUUGCUAAUGACGGUACCUGAAGAAUAAGCACCGGCUAACUACGUGCCAGCAGCCGCGGUAAUACGUAGGGUGCAAGCGUUAAUCGGAAUUACUGGGCGUAAAGCGUGCGCAGGCGGUUUUGUAAGUCUGAUGUGAAAUCCCCGGGCUCAACCUGGGAAUUGCAUUGGAGACUGCAAGGCUAGAAUCUGGCAGAGGGGGGUAGAAUUCCACGUGUAGCAGUGAAAUGCGUAGAUAUGUGGAGGAACACCGAUGGCGAAGGCAGCCCCCUGGGUCAAGAUUGACGCUCAUGCACGAAAGCGUGGGGAGCAAACAGGAUUAGAUACCCUAGUAGUCC
Molecule: ribosomal RNA, 473 nt
Filed under: uncultured organism
Description: partial 16S ribosomal RNA
Rfam family: Bacterial small subunit ribosomal RNA
Source: RNAcentral